AUCCCUGGCCUCCAGGUAUUCCAGGAUAAAAAAAAACUUCUCGUUUACAAGUGAGCCAAUUGACACCCAGCGGUUCUUGUUGCCUGAAGUGUGCAGUCCUGAGUCCAAGUUCUACUUUUUAGUGAGUUCCUAGCUUCCCCUGGGUACUGUGCAGAACCGUGGAUGUUGGCUUAUCAUCAUGGAGUAAUGAGAGGGGAACACUGCCUUCUUCUCAGGUGGAUUUCUCUGUACCUCCAA
Mastomys coucha (southern multimammate mouse) is the source of this 237-nucleotide long non-coding RNA. RefSeq lists it as uncharacterized. Lineage: Eukaryota; Metazoa; Chordata; Mammalia; Rodentia; Muridae. The transcript is spliced from 3 exons. The record is from RefSeq and is a predicted model, not a curated record.